Molecule: ribosomal RNA, 494 nt
Filed under: uncultured bacterium
Lineage: Bacteria
Description: partial 16S ribosomal RNA
Rfam family: Bacterial small subunit ribosomal RNA
Source: RNAcentral
GACGAACGCUGGCGGCGUGCCUAAUACAUGCAAGUUGAGCGAUGAAGAUUGGUGCUUGCACCAAUUUGAAGAGCAGCGAACGGGUGAGUAACGCGUGGGGAAUCUGCCUUUGAGCGGGGGACAACAUUUGGAAACGAAUGCUAAUACCGCAUAACAACUUUAAACAUAAGUUUUAAGUUUGAAAGAUGCAAUUGCAUCACUCAAAGAUGAUCCCGCGUUGUAUUAGCUAGUUGGUGAGGUAAAGGCUCACCAAGGCGAUGAUACAUAGCCGACCUGAGAGGGUGAUCGGCCACAUUGGGACUGAGACACGGCCCAAACUCCUACGGGAGGCAGCAGUAGGGAAUCUUCGGCAAUGGACGAAAGUCUGACCGAGCAACGCCGCGUGAGUGAAGAAGGUUUUCGGAUCGUAAAACUCUGUUGGUAGAGAAGAACGUUGGUGAGAGUGGAAAGCUCAUCAAGUGACGGUAACUACCCAGAAAGGGACGGCUAACUAC